Molecule: unclassified non-coding RNA, 216 nt
Filed under: uncultured Thelephoraceae
Lineage: Eukaryota; Fungi; Basidiomycota; Agaricomycetes; Thelephorales; Thelephoraceae
Description: sequence contains ITS2
Source: RNAcentral
ACACCUCAACUCUCAUGGUUUGCCAUGAUGAGCUUGGACUUUGGGGGUCUUGCUGGCCUGUGGUCAGCUCCUCUCAAAUGCAUCAGCUUUCCGGUGUUUGGUGGCAUCACGGGUGUGAUAACUAUCUACGCUUGUGGUGUUCCACCAGGCAACCUUCAGCAAUGGGGGUUCACUGGGGCUCAUAAACGUCUCCUUGGUGGGGACAGCUUUGUGAAU